UUUAUACUGUGAACUGCGAAUGGCUCAUUAAAUCAGUUAUCGUUUAUUUGAUAGUACCUUGCUACAUGGAUACCUGUGGUAAUUCUAGAGCUAAUACAUGCUAAAAACCCCGACUUCAGGAAGGGGUGUAUUUAUUAGAUAAAAAACCAACGCCCUUCGGGGCUCCUUGGUGAAUCAUAAUAACUUAACGAAUCGCAUGGCCUUGCGCCGGCGAUGGUUCAUUCAAAUUUCUGCCCUAUCAACUUUCGAUGGUAGGAUAGUGGCCUACCAUGGUGGCAACGGGUAACGGGGAAUUAGGGUUCGAUUCCGGAGAGGGAGCCUGAGAAACGGCUACCACAUCCAAGGAAGGCAGCAGGCGCGCAAAUUACCCAAUCCCGAUACGGGGAGGUAGUGACAAUAAAUACUGAUACGGGGCUCUUUUGGGUCUCG
Molecule: ribosomal RNA, 429 nt
Filed under: Penicillium decumbens
Lineage: Eukaryota; Fungi; Ascomycota; Eurotiomycetes; Eurotiales; Aspergillaceae
Description: SSU rRNA
Rfam family: Eukaryotic small subunit ribosomal RNA
Source: RNAcentral